UUCAUUAGCUCAAAUAACAUAUUCUUUUCUGAUAGCAAGGCCCAGAAAGCUACCACCUGCUGCUGUUUCUGCCUCUUCUGGCCAUUCAACAAGUGUUCACUGAUGACUCUCGGGAGAAAGUCAAGGCACAGAGAUGAAUAAGGCCCAGGCCCCGCCCUGCAGACCCCCAGGCCACUGGAUGACAUCCCUCCUGAAAGAGCAAUGAAUGCCAGGCCUUGUCUGAUAAGAGCUAUGGAAAGGCUGUCAUGAAAGUGCAGAGAAGACAGAGGGCUUUCCUGCCUAAGGGAAUCAGAGAGAAAUGUAACUGCCAAAGGGACCGGAUACACGUGUCCUCCAGCCAACACGUCAGCUCCCUGCAGGCACACUCCGCAGAAAGCCAAGUUCAAAUCAAAAUGGUGCUUGGCUUGCUUCUCCCAGGCAGGCUGCCUGAUGGUUCCUGGAUAUGCCGUGUGUGUCCACACCUCUGGGCCUCUGCUCAGGUAGGUCCCUCUGCCUGGGGUGCCCUCUCUGACUUGGUCAGCUCCUCCCCAUUCUCCAAGACCCAGCAAAAGUCCACUCCUCCAAGAAGUCUUUCCUCAG
This 579-nucleotide long non-coding RNA is filed under the name Homo sapiens (human). Its description in RNAcentral is "non-protein coding lnc-TSEN2-1:1". The record is from RNAcentral. Lineage: Eukaryota; Metazoa; Chordata; Mammalia; Primates; Hominidae.